AAACCCAGCUCGCUAACCGGCGCGGGCAGAGUACAGCUCCCAGGCUCCCGAAGCUUCCCACAUCUGGAGGAUGACGACCCUCCCCUGACCACAUCUGGAGGGCGUCCAGCUGCGAGCCAGCGGGGCACAGCUCUCUUCUCCUGGCCUGGAUCCCCACCCCCCCAACCCAGGAAGACUGAGAAUCCCAUCAUCGCGUGCACAUCUCAUCCCAGGAGGGAGAGAGGAGCUGCCGAGUAGAAAGCAGACUGGCUGCAGGGACAGAAGACACCAAGGGCACCCUCCCCCACAGCUGCGCCUGGACCUCCUGCGAGAAGAGGAAGCCUUAGGGGUCUUUAUUGUACCCUCAAGACCCCAGAGAGAAACAGAAGUGCUGAGGGGUCGCAGGCAGGUCUCUUACCCUCUCUGGGCCUCGAAUAUUUAUCCAUAGGAGGCUGAAGGUAACUGCCUUCGCAACUCAUUCAUGAGGGUCAAUGGGACGACAGUGGCAAGAGGGGUUGGCACACUGCCCAGACUGUUCCAAAGCCAGGGCUGGGGCUGCCAAAAAGGCCACCUGUGCUUCACCAUGCUCCAUCCUCCCUCUCUUCCACCUCCCCAGGCUGGGCUCCACUUGUCCAGCUCUCUGACUUCCUGGCAAGGUUGAGUAGGCUCCAGCUAGGAAGGGGCCAGCUGACCUUGUUGGCCGGAGCACUAAUCCCCUCCAGAUGGGCUGGUGGCUUGCACUGAGGGCCUGGCUGCCCAGACAGAGCUGACUCUGGUCCCAGUGACCAUGUGUGGCUAUGUGUGACCGUGUGAAGGGAGCAAUUCCAUCCAGUCUCCCGGUUCCUUCCUGCUUCACUCCUCCCCACUGCUGACAUCCCCCACAAGCAGUGGCCCCAUGAAGGCCUUCUUGUCUCUAGUAGCCUCUUUUGGCUCUCUGUGUUGCUUAGCUGGAGGGCUGAGGAUGCCUGGCACAGCCGAUUCCCAAAGGCCUCAGAGGGACAGCUCCUCCCCCUGCUUCCCCCACCCCGUCAGCCCCAUCACUCUGCACCUGCCCUUCCCAAAGCAUGUGUCCCAGUCCCCAUCCCUCAACCCAAGGAAGAUGUAUGUGUCAAGGACAGGACUCAGGAGCAUUUCCCAACAUUUAGGGGAAAGGAUGAGGUCACAGGAAGGCUUUCUCUGCAGCAAGAAGGACUCAGAUAGAUUUGGGGAAGGACUUCCAACCCAACAGAUGUUCCAAACGAAAGAGAACUCUUUCUUUGGACCAGCUUGUAUGAAAGCAGACAAAUGGACAACAUGACCUCCUGCAAGGAGGCCCUGCUUCCAUCCUUUCGAGGCUGGGGCUAGAUGGAUACCCCAAAAGAAAUGUCUUAGUCGUGACAAUAGCAGCUCCCACAAUGCACCAGGGCAUAUGCAAAGUCACCAUUCUGUGAAAUAUAAAAGCUCAUAUAAAGCA
This 1432-nucleotide long non-coding RNA is filed under the name Homo sapiens (human). RNAcentral describes it as "HSALNT0390604". The record is from RNAcentral. Lineage: Eukaryota; Metazoa; Chordata; Mammalia; Primates; Hominidae.